Amblyraja radiata (thorny skate) is the source of this 102-nucleotide long non-coding RNA. RefSeq lists it as uncharacterized. Lineage: Eukaryota; Metazoa; Chordata; Chondrichthyes; Rajiformes; Rajidae. The record is from RefSeq and is a predicted model, not a curated record. The transcript has 2 exons.
GAAGAUAACUAAAAAGGCAAUACAGGGAGAAAAGAUGAGGUACGAAGGUAAGCUAUCCAAGAAUAUAAAUGAGAAUAGUAAAAGCUUCUUUAGGUAUGUGAA